UACGUAGGGUGCGAGCGUUGUCCGGAAUUAUUGGGCGUAAAGAGCUCGUAGGCGGUUUGUCGCGUCGGCCGUGAAAUCUCCACGCUUAACGUGGAGCGUGCGGUCGAUACGGGCAGACUUGAGUUCGGUAGGGGAGACUGGAAUUCCUGGUGUAGCGGUGGAAUGCGCAGAUAUCAGGAGGAACACCGAUGGCGAAGGCAGGUCUCUGGGCCACUACUGACGCUGAGAAGCGAAAGCAUGGGGAGCGAACAGG
This 253-nucleotide ribosomal RNA is filed under the name uncultured bacterium. Its description in RNAcentral is "partial 16S ribosomal RNA". It matches the Rfam family "Bacterial small subunit ribosomal RNA", at positions 524 to 776 of the family's 1533-position model. The record is from RNAcentral.